Molecule: ribosomal RNA, 243 nt
Filed under: uncultured Actinomycetales bacterium
Lineage: Bacteria; Bacillati; Actinomycetota; Actinomycetes; Actinomycetales
Description: partial 16S ribosomal RNA
Rfam family: Bacterial small subunit ribosomal RNA
Source: RNAcentral
UACUCGAGUGGCGAACGGGUGAGUAGCACGUGGGUGAUCUGCCCUGCACUUCGGGAUAAGCCUGGGAAACUGGGUCUAAUACCGGAUAGGAGCCAUUUUUAGUGUGAUGGUUGGAAAGUUUUUUCGGUGUAGGAUGAGCUCGCGGCCUAUCAGCUUGUUGGUGGGGUAAUGGCCUACCAAGGCGGCGACGGGUAGCCGGCCUGAGAGGGUGGACGGCCACAUUGGGACUGAGAUACGGCCCAG